This 588-nucleotide ribosomal RNA is filed under the name uncultured bacterium. RNAcentral's name for it is "partial 16S ribosomal RNA". It matches the Rfam family "Bacterial small subunit ribosomal RNA", at positions 355 to 1376 of the family's 1533-position model. The record is from RNAcentral.
UGGGGAAUAUUGGACAAUGGGCGCAAGCCUGAUCCAGCAAUGCCGCGUGUGUGAAGAAGGCCUUCGGGUUGUAAAGCACUUUUAUCAGGAAAGAAAUCCCAUGGGUUAAUACCCUGUGGGGAUGACGGUACCUGAGGAAUAAGCACCGGCUAACUUCGUGCCAGCAGCCGCGGUAAUACGAAGGGUGCAAGCGUUAAUCGGAAUUACUGGGCGUAAAGGGUGCGUAGGCGGUUUGUUAAGUUGGAUGUGAAAGCCCUGGGCUCAACCUGGGAAUGGCAUCCAAAACUGGCGAGCUGGAGUGCGGUAGAGGAUGGUGGAAUUCCCGGUGUAGCGGUGAAAUGCGUAGAGAUCGGGAGGAACAUCGAUGGCGAAGGCAGCCAUCUGGACCAGCACUGACGCUGAGGCACGAAAGCGUGGGGAGCAAACAGGAUUAGAUACCCUGGUAGUCCACGCCCUAAACGAUGCGAACUGGAUGUUGUGGGCAACUAGGCCCUCAGUAUCGAAGCUAACGCGUUAAGUUCGCCGCCUGGGGAGUACGGUCGCAAGACUGAAACUUAAAUGAAUUGACGGGGUCAUAGCUGUUUCCUG